This 70-nucleotide microRNA precursor is filed under the name Astyanax mexicanus (Mexican tetra). Its description in RNAcentral is "miR-430 microRNA precursor family". It matches the Rfam family "miR-430 microRNA precursor family". Lineage: Eukaryota; Metazoa; Chordata; Actinopteri; Characiformes; Acestrorhamphidae. The record is from Rfam by way of RNAcentral.
GUUGGUGCUCUAACAGCGGCACUGACCUUUCCAUAGUAAUUAGUAAGUGCUAUUUGUCGGGGUAGUUUAA